GUGCACCAGGCGAGAAACUUUACAAUGUGCGAAAGCACGAUAAGGGAACUCUGAGUGCCUCCUAAGGAGGCUGUUCAGGUGUCUAAAAGCACCUGGAGUAAGGGCUGGGUAAGACCGGUGCCAGCCGCCGCGGUAACACCGGCAGCCCAGGUGGUAGCCACUUUUAUUGGGUCUAAAGCGUCCGUAGCCGGUUGAGUAAGUUCCUUGGGAAAUCUGGCUGCUCAACAGUCAAGCUUCCAGGGAAUACUGCUCGACUUGGGGACUGGGAGAGGUCAGAGGUACUCCAGGGGUAGGGGUGAAAUCCAUUAAUCCCUGGGGGACCACCGGUAGCGAAGGCGUCUGACCAGACCAGGUCCGACGGUGAGGGACGAAGGCUAGGGUCGCGAACCGGAUUAGAUA
Molecule: ribosomal RNA, 399 nt
Filed under: uncultured microorganism
Description: bacterial SSU rRNA
Rfam family: Archaeal small subunit ribosomal RNA
Source: RNAcentral